This 253-nucleotide ribosomal RNA is filed under the name uncultured bacterium. Its description in RNAcentral is "partial 16S ribosomal RNA". It matches the Rfam family "Bacterial small subunit ribosomal RNA", at positions 524 to 776 of the family's 1533-position model. The record is from RNAcentral.
UACGUAGGGGGCAAGCGUUGUCCGGAAUCAUUGGGCGUAAAGAGCGCGUAGGCGGCCCUGUAAGUCCGCUGUGAAAGUCAAGGGCUCAACCCUUGGAUGCCGGUGGAUACUGCAGGGCUAGAGUCCGGAAGAGGUGAGUGGAACUCCGAGUGUAGAGGUGAAAUUCGUAGAUAUUCGGAAGAACACCAGUGGCGAAGGCGGCUCACUGGUCCGGUACUGACGCUGAGGUGCGAAAGCGUGGGGAGCAAACAGG